RNAcentral lists this ribosomal RNA (487 nucleotides) under uncultured bacterium. RNAcentral describes it as "partial 16S ribosomal RNA". It matches the Rfam family "Bacterial small subunit ribosomal RNA", at positions 355 to 829 of the family's 1533-position model. The record is from RNAcentral.
UGGGGAAUUUUGGACAAUGGGCGAAAGCCUGAUCCAGCAAUGCCGCGUGUGUGAAGAAGGCCUUCGGGUUGUAAAGCACUUUUGUCCGGAAAGAAAUCCUUGGCUCUAAUACAGUCGGGGGAUGACGGUACCGGAAGAAUAAGCACCGGCUAACUACGUGCCAGCAGCCGCGGUAAUACGUAGGGUGCAAGCGUUAAUCGGAAUUGCUGGGCGUAAAGCGUGCGCAGGCGGUUUGCUAAGACCGAUGUGAAAUCCCCGGGCUCAACCUGGGAACUGCAUUGGUGACUGGCAGGCUAGAGUAUGGCAGAGGGGGGUAGAAUUCCGACGUGUAGCAGUGAAAUGCGUAGAGAUGUGGAGGAAUACCGAUGGCGAAGGCAGCCCCCAUGGGCCAAUACUGACGCUCAUGCACGAAAGCGUGGGGGAGCAAACAGGAUUCAGAUACCCUGGUAGUCCAGCGCCCUAAACGAUGUCAACUAGUUGUUGGGGA